GUAGGUGGCAAGCGUUGUCCGGAAUUAUUGGGCGUAAAGCGCGCGCAGGCGGUUCUUUAAGUCUGAUGUGAAAGCCCACGGGCUCAACCGUGGAGGGUCAUUGGAAACUGGAGAACUUGAGUACAGAAGAGGAAAGCGGAAUUCCACGUGUAGCGGUGAAAUGCGUAGAGAUGUGGAGGAACACCAGUGGCGAAGGCGGCUUUCUGGUCUGUAACUGACGCUGAGGCGCGAAAGCGUGGGGAGCAAACAGGAUUAGAUACCCUGGUAGUCCACGCCGUAAACGAUGAGUGCUAAGUGUUAGGGGUUUCCGCCCCUUAGUGCUGCAGCUAACGCAUUAAGCACUCCGCCUGGGGAGUACGGCCGCAAGGCUG
Molecule: ribosomal RNA, 371 nt
Filed under: uncultured organism
Description: partial 16S ribosomal RNA
Rfam family: Bacterial small subunit ribosomal RNA
Source: RNAcentral